Molecule: ribosomal RNA, 479 nt
Filed under: Blastocystis sp.
Lineage: Eukaryota; Bigyra; Opalinata; Blastocystidae
Description: SSU rRNA
Rfam family: Eukaryotic small subunit ribosomal RNA
Source: RNAcentral
GGAGGUAGUGACAAUAAAUCACAAUGCGGAACAUUUGUUUUGCAAUUGGAUUGAGAACAACGCACAACACUUAUCGAUAAACAAUUGGAGGGCAAGUCUGGUGCCAGCAGCCGCGGUAAUUCCAGCUCCAAUAGCGUAUAUUAACGUUGUUGCAGUUAAAAAGCUCGUAGUUGAAGUGAAGUAUGAAACCUUAACGUUUUCAUUUGAAUUUGUUUUGGUUUGAUACUCUUUCCAAUUUGUGUGCAUGGGUAUUCAUUUAUCUGUGUAGGCAUUUGGUCAUUUACUGUGAGAAAAUUAGAGUGUUCAAAGCAUACGUUUGUUUGAAUACAUUAGCAUGGAAUAAUUCGAAAAGGCUUUCAUGUUCGAUUUGAUUGGUUUGUUCGUGAAGGCAAGAUUAAAAGGGACAGUUGGGGGUAUUCAUAUUCAAUAGUCAGAGGUGAAAUUCUCGGAUUUAUGGAAGAUGAACAAGUGCGAAAGCA